This 71-nucleotide transfer RNA is filed under the name Stenocephalemys sokolovi. RNAcentral describes it as "tRNA-Gln". It matches the Rfam family "tRNA". From Rfam's summary of the family: Transfer RNA (tRNA) molecules are approximately 80 nucleotides in length. Their secondary structure includes four short double-helical elements and three loops (D, anti-codon, and T loops). RNAcentral also lists the same sequence under 1 other name. The record is from RNAcentral. Lineage: Eukaryota; Metazoa; Chordata; Mammalia; Rodentia; Muridae.
UAGAAUAUGGUGUAUAGGUAGCACGAAGAAUUUUGAAUUCUUAGGUAUGGGUUCAAUUCCUACUAUUCUAG